This 776-nucleotide ribosomal RNA is filed under the name Ferrimicrobium sp. XV11. Its description in RNAcentral is "bacterial SSU rRNA". It matches the Rfam family "Bacterial small subunit ribosomal RNA", at positions 47 to 833 of the family's 1533-position model. The record is from RNAcentral. Lineage: Bacteria; Bacillati; Actinomycetota; Acidimicrobiia; Acidimicrobiales; Acidimicrobiaceae.
CAUCUUACCAUGCAAGUCGAACGGGGUAUCAGGGUAGUAAUACCCGAAGUACCUAGUGGCGAACGGGUGCGUAACACGUGAGCAACCUACCCCAGAGCUUGGAAUAACACCGGGAAACCGGUGCUAAUACCGAAUACUCUCAUUCGGCCGCAUGACUGAAUGAGGAAAGAUUUAUCACUCUGGGACGGGCUCGCGGCCUAUCAGCUUGUUGGUGAGGUAACGGCUCACCAAGGCUACGACGGGUAGCUGGUCUGAGAGGACGAUCAGCCACACUGGGACUGAGACACGGCCCAGACUCCUACGGGAGGCAGCAGUGGGGAAUAUUGCGCAAUGGGCGAAAGCCUGACGCAGCAACGCCGCGUGGAGGAUGAAGGCUUUCGGGUUGUAAACUCCUUUCAGCAGGGACGAAACUGACGGUACCUGCAGAAGAAGCCCCGGCUAACUACGUGCCAGCAGCCGCGGUGAGACGUAGGGGGCAAGCGUUGUCCGGAUUUAUUGGGCGUAAAGAGCUCGUAGGCGGCUUGGCAAGUCGGAUGUGAAAUCUCCAGGCUUAACCUGGAGUCGCCAUCCGAUACUGCUAUGGCUAGAGUCCGGUAGAGGAUCGUGGAAUUCCUGGUGUAGCGGUGAAAUGCGCAGAUAUCAGGAGGAACACCAACGGCGAAGGCAGCGAUCUGGGCCGGUACUGACGCUGAGGAGCGAAAGCGUGGGGAGCGAACAGGAUUAGAUACCCUGGUAGUCCACGCCCUAAACGUUUGGCACUAGGUGUGGGGCCUAUU